Brassica rapa (field mustard) is the source of this 1351-nucleotide long non-coding RNA. RefSeq lists it as uncharacterized. The record is from RefSeq and is a predicted model, not a curated record. NCBI's taxonomy places the organism in Eukaryota, Viridiplantae, Streptophyta, Magnoliopsida, Brassicales, Brassicaceae.
CUUUACCACUACCAUUUCAUCUCUCUCCUUGUUAAAAACUUAAUCUGAAGUAUAGAUUUGUUUGACAAAAGAAAUUCUCCUAUGAAAUCGAAAAAGGCUCCACUCAUCCUCUUCCUUUUCAUUUAUCUGUAGCCAUUAUUACACACAUCAAAACUGUAAAAACUUAUCUAUAGCCAUUAUUAAACCAAACUCAUCAUCUUUUGCUUUACUAACCUCUUUAUGUCUCAAUCUCAAAAAAAAAUUCUCAUCUCUGAAUGUUUUUUUCUCCAUCUCAUGUUAAAACUCUCUGAAAUCUUCAUAUCUCAUUUUUCUUCUUACAUUUAUAUGAUAGUCUGUAACUACAGUGUCUUAAGGGAAAACUUCACGAUGAAAAAAAACAGAUGUGAUGCGUCUUUCUAGCAGUUGAAAAUAGAGGUGAAGCGUUUUCCACUCUUUUUUUUGUUUCUUCUCCGUUCUGUUUCCAGAGAAACCCGAGGACAACAAUACUUGAGUUAUUGGGGGUUUGAUUUUUUUCAAAAGAAUCAGAACAAUGAAAAACAGAUUUCAGGUUUCUUGAAUCUUCAGUGGAAAAGAUAUGGUUUAUGUUCUGAGUUAUCUCAAUAGGUAAUGGGGCUUUUCUCUCAUUUCCUUUUAAAAUGAGAAUUAUGUUGUGAUGUCUCGGUUUUUUUCAACAAAGGUUCCUCCUUUUCAAGAACAAAGAUCAGACUCGUGUAUGUGAAUUGGUUAUUUGUUCGAAUUUUGCAAUUUUAUUUUUAGUUUUCUGGAAAUAUUCCAAUGAGUGUUCCACCUGUUAAAAUGUAUAAGAGAAAGUUUAACGACAUAGGAAGGGGAAGAUAUGAUUCAGAUUUUUGGAUCCAACAAUCUUGAAGAGGAAAAGGACAGCAAGAUUCUCAAGUUCUUAGGUUUAUGUGGAAUCCACUCGCGUGAGCCCGGAUCUGCCGUGUUCUUGUCGGCGAUUGAGACACGAGGAGGCGUCUCUUGGUCGGAGGAGCAUUUGAGGAGAAGAGAGCCAUAAAAAGUGGAAGUGAGGAAAACGAGGUGGUGAAGUCGCCUUUUCUAGCCGGAGGAUGGUGAACCAACGGCGUCGGAAAAUAGAAAGCUUUGUGGAUCGCCGGAGAAGAGUAGUCAGAGGCAAGCUUCGUCGCCGGGGAAGAAGAGAGAGAAAUGGAAGAAGCUGAAGAAGAGGUUUUUGAAGUAGAAGAAGCCGGUAGCAGGAGCUUGCUUGCUUCUCUACCAAACUACCAAACAAGAUUGAGAUGAAGAAGAAAACAAACCUGGAAGGUCAACGACAAGGAUCUCAGCGUCUGGUUCAGAGGUCCAUCUAGUUACAGGGUCAAAUUCUUGGUAAACC